CCGAUGUGGUUGGUGGUGGUGGUGGAACUGGUGGGCAAUAAUGCAAAAUGAUCGAGCGGAUGGCUGGCUGUGGGAUGGGUGUCCAUGUUCACCACGAACAAGAUUCUGCACCAGUACUGUGUACUGCCAUUGCGAGGGUAGUCCAUGGCUAGCUCCAUGCAUGCACUGUUCUAGCCUAAGCCUAACCUUUUCUUGCCUCCACUUGCCCGAAGCUCUCGAUCAGCUGCGUCAGGUUCUCAUACGAGGAGCCUCCUUUCUCCAUGGCGCCGUGAGCUUUCUCCCCGUACUCCCUGGCUCUCCGCCUCCUCUCGCCGGUCUCUUCCCCUUGGCCCAUCAGCGCCGACACCGCCCGCGCGACGUCCCCACGCGCCACCACCACGCUCUCGUCGUCGAACACCAUCACGGGCGCCGUCACGCCGAUGGGCACGCCCACGCCGAGCACGUCCACCGCCAGCCGCUCGUUCAGGAACUGGUCGGCGAAGUGGGACCACGUGACCACCGGGAUGCCGUGCGCGACGGACUCCAGCAGCGAGUUCCAUCCGCAGUGGGUGACGAAGCCCCCCACGGCGCGGUGGGACAGGAUGGCGAGCUGCGGCGCCCACCCACGCACCACGAGACCCCGCCCCGCCGCGCGCGCCUCCAGGGCCCCCAGCCACUCCCGCACCUCCGGCGGGGACGCCUCGGCCUGCUUCACCACCCACAGGAACGGCCUGCCGGAGUCCUCCAGGCCAUGCCCCACCUCGAACAGCUGCUUCGGGAGCUUCCGCGCGAGGCUGCCGAAGCUGACGAACACGACGGAGCCGGUAUCCUUGGAGUCGAGCCAGGCGGCUACCGCGCUGUGCUGCUGGACGCGGACGCCGACGCCGCCGUCCGCCCCCCGCGACGACAUGGUGUCGGCGUCCCGGUUGCGGAGGCAGAGCGGCCCCAGCGUCCACACGGGUUUGCCGAGCGCCGCCUCGUAGCACGACACGAACUGGCCCUCGAGGCCCACGAACGUGUUCACCACCGCGCCGUCGGCCGCGCGCAUGGCCUCCACGCACUCGCCCCGGAGCGCCUCCCACCCCGGCGAGUUGAAGAAGCCCGGCGCCGUGGCCUUGGUCACCUCUACGUGCACCGGCAUGCCCGGCACCACGAACCUCUCCUGCCCGUCGUCGACGUCAGCCGCCGCCGCCGCCGCGGCCAGCUCGCGUAACCCGUGGUCGGUGGCGUUGAGGUCGCAGAGCGAGUAGAAACACGGCGGCCCGUGGAAGAAGAGGCGAUGGAUCCCGAGGCUUCUGGCCGCGCCGGCCGCACACGGGUUGCACCAGUCGGAGACGAUGCAGCUCGGGCGCGGCGCCUGCGCUCGCAGGUACGCUUCCAGCGGGCCGGCGAGCUUCUGCAGAGCGUCGAACAGGGGGACGAAGUGGCCGUUGUCCGUGACCUGGUCCAUGUUCUCGAUGCCCGGGGGCAGGCCGUCCACGUCCGUCGGGAACGGGAGCUCCACGAUCUCGAGGGGCAGCUUGGCGCGCGCGGCCUGCUCGGCGACGCCACGCAGCCGUGCGCCGUUCAGCGGUGUCGUCACCAGGCUCGCGCGCGCACCGCGCUCCGCCAGGAGGAGGGCGAGGUCGACCAUGGGGAUGGUGUGGCCCUGCGCCACGAGGGGGACGAUAACGAAGUGAGGUGGCGGCGGUGGUGGCGCUGGCGUAUCAGCAGCCGAUUCAUCCGUGGGCGCCAUGGACGACGUGCGUGCUAAUUAAGCUAGCUGCCUGCCAAGGACCUCGGGCGGGCACCGCAUGAAUGGUGUAGGAAAUAGAGUGUGUAGCCUGUGAGUAGAAGUGUCGAGGUGCAGCACAUAAUUUAUAUAGCCAUGUGAGGGCGCUUUUUUUCCUUUCCACAAGUAGGCUCCUCCCAUGUUUUUCAGCCAAAAUUUGCCAAACAUUUUGGCUGAUGUUGUCAUUUGUGAGGACAUAUUUUUACAAGCUUGGGUUUUUCUAGAAUAGAACAUAUGGG
RNAcentral lists this unclassified non-coding RNA (1989 nucleotides) under Zea mays. RNAcentral describes it as "misc RNA Zm00001eb240480". Lineage: Eukaryota; Viridiplantae; Streptophyta; Magnoliopsida; Poales; Poaceae. The record is from RNAcentral.